UGGUAGGAAGGGUCUUACUGCCGAUGGUGAGGUCGAUGCAGAGAGCGCCGCGAGCGUUUGACACGUUGCCCUCGAAGUCUUUGAGCAUCAUGUCUGUCUUGGUCAAGUCGUCGUCGCUUUUCCCAAGCUUCCGGAGUACGGCGUACGGCAUGAUGUUGACUGCAGCUCCUCCGUCUACCAUCAGUCUAGUGAGGGGGCGGCCGUCAACAUGCCCUUUAAGGAACAGCGCCUUCAUGUGUUGUCGUUCGUCAUCUUCGGGCUUCUCGAAUGUGGCCAUCAUUGGCUCCAAAGCCAACU
RNAcentral lists this long non-coding RNA (297 nucleotides) under Setaria italica (foxtail millet). RNAcentral's name for it is "long non-coding RNA (SITA_LNC004456)". Lineage: Eukaryota; Viridiplantae; Streptophyta; Magnoliopsida; Poales; Poaceae. The record is from RNAcentral.